RNAcentral lists this ribosomal RNA (254 nucleotides) under uncultured bacterium. RNAcentral describes it as "partial 16S ribosomal RNA". It matches the Rfam family "Bacterial small subunit ribosomal RNA", at positions 524 to 776 of the family's 1533-position model. The record is from RNAcentral.
UACGUAGGGACCAAGCGUUGUUCGGAUUUACUGGGCGUAAAGGGCGCGUAGGCGGCGCUGUAAGUCACUUGUGAAAUCUCCGGGCUUAACUCGGAACGGUCAAGUGAUACUGCAGUGCUAGAGUGCAGAAAGGGCAAUCGGAAUUCUUGGUGUAGCGGUGAAAUGCGUAGAUAUCAAGAGGAACACCUGAGGCGAAGGCGGGUUGCUAGGCUGACACUGACGAUGAAAGCGCGAAAGCCAGGGGAGCAAACGGG